This 474-nucleotide long non-coding RNA is filed under the name Malus domestica (apple). Its description in RNAcentral is "long non-coding RNA (MDOM_LNC013020)". The record is from RNAcentral. Lineage: Eukaryota; Viridiplantae; Streptophyta; Magnoliopsida; Rosales; Rosaceae.
GGUUUAGCCACUCAUAUUUACAACAAAGCGAAAGGAAAUGAAUUUAAACAUUAGAAACAAAAGAAAGAAAACACCUAAACGCUCCGACGAUCCAAGUUGGACAGCAAGCACGUCCAAACACUUUCCUUCCCUUCCUUUGCUAUGGCACAAGGUGUUGGUGAGUGUUUGAAGGUUUGUUUGUAUGGAGGAAUGGAUGUGAAGAUGAAUGGAUGUGUUUGGAUGAAGGUUAUGUUGAAAUGGGAGUGAAUGAUCUAACAAAGUAUGAACUCAAUUUAUGUUACACACACUUCCUUUUAUAGAGGAAGUGCAAGGCAAAGCAUGGGUAAAAUGGAGUGGUGUUGAAAUCAUUCAAAGGUGAAAGUGAAUUGAUGAUUGAUGCAAGAAUUAAACAUGGAUGGAGUGCACGGCAAAGGUUUGUUAUGGUACAAGGAACCCUUAAUUUGUGUCCUAAAAUGCAUGUGAAACCUUCAAUGU